RNAcentral lists this transfer RNA (77 nucleotides) under Streptomyces sp. ISL-94. RNAcentral describes it as "tRNA-Trp". It matches the Rfam family "tRNA". Rfam says of the family: Transfer RNA (tRNA) molecules are approximately 80 nucleotides in length. Their secondary structure includes four short double-helical elements and three loops (D, anti-codon, and T loops). RNAcentral also lists the same sequence under 1 other name. The record is from RNAcentral. Lineage: Bacteria; Bacillati; Actinomycetota; Actinomycetes; Kitasatosporales; Streptomycetaceae.
AGGGGUGUAGCUCAGCUGGUCAGAGCGCUGGUCUCCAAAACCAGAUGUCGUAGGUUCGAAUCCUGCCACCCCUGCCA